Molecule: unclassified non-coding RNA, 581 nt
Filed under: Hevea brasiliensis (rubber tree)
Lineage: Eukaryota; Viridiplantae; Streptophyta; Magnoliopsida; Malpighiales; Euphorbiaceae
Source: RNAcentral
AAGGAAAGGUCCCCCCAAGAAAGAAAAAAGGCUUAAUUUUCUUUCAUAUUUUCUAUCACUUUCUAUAGAAGAACUAGAAAAAGAAUAUGGCUAUGAAUAUUACUCACCAGAUCGGAGCUCUCGCGGGAACUCCAAUCUCAACAGAACCCAUCACCACUACCACAAGUGAAUCUACGGCGACGGUCAGCGCUACUGCGGCUUGGAAAACUCCUAUGCCAAAUAUGCUGUGCAGAACUAGAAAACCAGACGUUGUGGAGCAGAAAUCUCAACCGACGAGCCCUUGCCGGUCUCCAAUACUAAACGGGAUUCGCGCAGAUCUGUCGGUAGCUUGCCGUGCUUUUGCGUUAGAGGCGACGACAUUGGAGACGGCAACGGAAGGGGCGGAAGAGAGGAUGUAUAGAGAAGUUUCCGCGAAGGAGAAAGGGAGAGGGGUGCCGGUGUACGUGAUGAUGCCGUUGGACAGCGUGACGAUGGGCAACACCGUGAACCGGAGGAAGGCGAUGAACGCCAGCUUGCAGGCGUUGAAGAGCGCAGGAGUUGAAGGGAUCAUGGUGGACGUAUGGUGGGGAUUGGUUGAGAGA